Hydrogenophaga sp. H7 is the source of this 85-nucleotide transfer RNA. It matches the Rfam family "tRNA". From Rfam's summary of the family: Transfer RNA (tRNA) molecules are approximately 80 nucleotides in length. Their secondary structure includes four short double-helical elements and three loops (D, anti-codon, and T loops). Further hydrogen bonds mediate the characteristic L-shaped molecular structure. tRNAs have two regions of fundamental functional importance: the anti-codon, which is responsible for specific mRNA codon recognition, and the 3' end, to which the tRNAs corresponding amino acid is attached (by aminoacyl-tRNA synthetases). tRNAs cope with the degeneracy of the genetic code in two manners: having more than one tRNA (with a specific anti-codon) for a particular amino acid; and 'wobble' base-pairing, i.e. permitting non-standard base-pairing at the 3rd anti-codon position. Lineage: Bacteria; Pseudomonadati; Pseudomonadota; Betaproteobacteria; Burkholderiales; Comamonadaceae. The record is from Rfam.
GGAGACGUGGGAGAGUGGUUUAAUCCAGCGGUCUUGAAAACCGCCGACCCGCAAGGGUCCGUGAGUUCGAAUCUCACCGUCUCCG